This 333-nucleotide ribosomal RNA is filed under the name uncultured bacterium. Its description in RNAcentral is "bacterial SSU rRNA". It matches the Rfam family "Bacterial small subunit ribosomal RNA", at positions 28 to 362 of the family's 1533-position model. The record is from RNAcentral.
GACGAACGCUGGCGGCGUGCUUAACACAUGCAAGUCGAGCGGUAAGGCCCUUUCGGGGGUACACGAGCGGCGAACGGGUGAGUAACACGUGGGUGACCUGCCCUCAGCUCUGGGAUAAGCCUGGGAAACCGGGUCUAAUACCGGAUAUGACUCCAUGACGCAUGUUGUGGGGUGGAAAGCCUUGUGCGGCUGAGGAUGGGCCCGCGGCCUAUCAGCUUGUUGGUGGGGUGAUGGCCUACCAAGGCGACGACGGGUAGCCGGCCUGAGAGGGCGACCGGCCACACUGGGACUGAGACACGGCCCAGACUCCUACGGGAGGCAGCAGUGGGGAAC